AUUGUUGGUUUUUUUUUUUUUUCAAUUUUGAAUUGUUCUCUUAUCCUAAUGUGGGAUGUGUAUUGGAUUUCAAUUUGCAGGUUUUUAUUUGGUGGUUUGUAUCAAAUCUCCGAAAGGAAACCAAGCAAGGGAAGAAACAACAAUGAAUCCUAUACUAUGGCACAAAUUAGCUGCAGUCUCUGGAAUGGCAGCUUUUGGGUUGGGCAUAUAUGGUGCUGAUGGCUUUAAACCCAAAAACCCAGCUUACAAGGAGAAAACAUUCCAAACUUUGCCAACAUUUGGGAAUCUCAGACAAUUGAACUUGGAUAUCCCUUCAUACCAAAGUAAAAGUGAGGAAGCCAAUCUCAGCAACGGACAACCAAGGACAUCUCUGAGGAGCUAAUGUAAAAACAGUUGAAUCAGAAUAGAAACAUAAAUACAUUUUUGUUCAUACAUUGCUCUUCUAACUAUUGUCAAAAGACAUUUGCUCAAGAGGAUUGAGAAAUUAUAACAGAGAUGGGAUACGUGUCCAGAAGAAAAAUUGGAAGGUUAUCUUUAUCCAUUGAACAAGAAGUUGGAGAAAGGUUUUGAAGAGUUGCUGCAGAGAAGUUUUACUCUGAGGCUGACCAACAGCAGCAUGAAAUCAAUGUUGUAUUCUAUUUAGAUUUUCAUUGAACCAUAUCAAUGUCGUAUUCUAUUUAUAAUUUCAUUAAACAACUGGCAUCCAUACUUUUA
Rosa chinensis is the source of this 714-nucleotide long non-coding RNA. RefSeq lists it as uncharacterized. NCBI's taxonomy places the organism in Eukaryota, Viridiplantae, Streptophyta, Magnoliopsida, Rosales, Rosaceae. The record is from RefSeq and is a predicted model, not a curated record. The transcript has 6 exons.